UGGGGAAUAUUGCACAAUGGGGGAAACCCUGAUGCAGCGACGCCGCGUGAACGAAGAAGGUAUUCGUAUCGUAAAGUUCUGUCCUAUGGGAAGAUAAUGACAGUACCAUAGAAGAAAGCUCCGGCUAAAUACGUGCCAGCAGCCGCGGUAAUACGUAUGGAGCGAGCGUUGUCCGGAAUUAUUGGGCGUAAAGGGUACGCAGGCGGUUUAAUAAGUCGAAUGUUAAAGAUCGGGGCUCAACCCCGUAAAGCAUUGGAAACUGAUAAACUUGAGUAGUGGAGAGGAAAGUGGAAUUCCUAGUGUAGUGGUGAAAUACGUAGAUAUUAGGAGGAAUACCAGUAGCGAAGGCGACUUUCUGGACACAAACUGACGCUGAGGUACGAAAGCGUGGGGAGCAAACGGG
RNAcentral lists this ribosomal RNA (403 nucleotides) under bacterium. RNAcentral describes it as "partial 16S ribosomal RNA". It matches the Rfam family "Bacterial small subunit ribosomal RNA", at positions 355 to 776 of the family's 1533-position model. The record is from RNAcentral.